Molecule: ribosomal RNA, 497 nt
Filed under: uncultured bacterium
Lineage: Bacteria
Description: partial 16S ribosomal RNA
Rfam family: Bacterial small subunit ribosomal RNA
Source: RNAcentral
GAUGAACGCUGGCGGCGUGCCUAAUACAUGCAAGUCGAGCGAACAGACGAGGAGCUUGCUCCUCUGACGUUAGCGGCGGACGGGUGAGUAACACGUGGAUAACCUACCUAUAAGACUGGGAUAACUUCGGGAAACCGGAGCUAAUACCGGAUAAUAUAUUGAACCACAUGGUUCAAUAGUGAAAGACGGUUUUGCUGUCACUUAUAGAUGGAUCCGCGCCGCAUUAGCUAGUUGGUAAGGUAACGGCUUACCAAGGCAACGAUGCGUAGCCGACCUGAGAGGGUGAUCGGCCACACUGGAACUGAGACACGGUCCAGACUCCUACGGGAGGCAGCAGUAGGGAAUCUUCCGCAAUGGGCGAAAGCCUGACGGAGCAACGCCGCGUGAAUGAUGAAGGUCUUCGGAUCGUAAAACUCUGUUAUUAGGGAAGAACAAAUGUGUAAGUAACUAUGCACGUCUUGACGGUACCUAAUCAGAAAGCCACGGCUAACUACGUG